AGAGUUUGAUCAUGGCUCAGAAUGAACGCUGGCGGCGUGCCUAACACAUGCAAGUCGUACGAGAAAAAGGGGGCUUCGGCCCUGAGUAGAGUGGCGCACGGGUGAGUAACGCGUGGGUAAUCUGCCCUUGGAUUUGGGAUAACUUCGCGAAAGUGGAGCUAAUACCGGAUAGUCUGGCUUUUAAUAGAAGUCGGUAAAGGAUGCCUCUGCAUAUGCAUUCGUCCGAGGAUGAGCCCGCGUCUCAUUAGCUAGUUGGUAGGGUAAUGGCCUACCAAGGCAACGAUGAGUAACUGGUCUGAGAGGAUGAUCAGUCACACUGGAACUGAAACACGGUCCAGACUCCUACGGGAGGCAGCAGUGGGGGAUAUUGCGCAAUGGGGGAAACCCUGAUGCAGCAACGCCGCGUGGAGGAUGACGCAUUUCGGUGUGUAAACUCCUUUUAUAAGGGGAAGAUAAUGACGGUACCUUAUGAAUAAGCACCGGCUAACUCCGUGCCAGCAGCCGCGGUAAUA
Molecule: ribosomal RNA, 512 nt
Filed under: bacterium enrichment culture clone Cont167_3130
Lineage: Bacteria
Description: bacterial SSU rRNA
Rfam family: Bacterial small subunit ribosomal RNA
Source: RNAcentral